UACAGAGGUCCCAAGCGUUGUUCGGAUUCACUGGGCGUAAAGGGUGCGUAGGCGGUUGGGUAAGUCUGAUGUGAAAUCUCACAGCUUAACUGUGAAACUGCAUUGGAUACUAUCCAACUCGAGGAAUGGAGGGGAGACUGGAAUACUUGGUGUAGCAGUGAAAUGCGUAGAUAUCAAGUGGAACACCAGUGGCGAAGGCGAGUCCCUGGACAACACCUGACACUGAGGCACGAAAGCUAGGGGAGCAAACAGG
This 253-nucleotide ribosomal RNA is filed under the name uncultured bacterium. RNAcentral describes it as "partial 16S ribosomal RNA". It matches the Rfam family "Bacterial small subunit ribosomal RNA", at positions 524 to 776 of the family's 1533-position model. The record is from RNAcentral.